UCAAACAGCGGCCUUCGGGCCUCGCUGCACCCUUGUCUUUUGCGCACCGUAUUGUUUCCUCGGCGGGCUUGCCUGCCGGUUGGACAUCAUCAAAACCUUUUUGUAGUUGCAAUCAGCGUCAGAAAAACAAAUAAUUAUUA
RNAcentral lists this unclassified non-coding RNA (140 nucleotides) under soil metagenome. Its description in RNAcentral is "partial internal transcribed spacer 1". The record is from RNAcentral.